Molecule: long non-coding RNA, 1038 nt
Filed under: Sus scrofa (pig)
Lineage: Eukaryota; Metazoa; Chordata; Mammalia; Artiodactyla; Suidae
Description: lncRNA (ENSSSCG00070023550.1)
Source: RNAcentral
CGAUCCGGCGUUGCCGUGAGCUGUGGUGUAGGUUGCAGAUGCGGCUCGGAUCCCGCGUUGCUGUGGCUCUGGCGUAGGUCGGCGGCUACAGCUCCGAUUAGACCCCUAGCCUGGGAACUUCCAUAUGCCACCGGAAGCGGCCCUAGAAAAGGCAAAAAGACAAAAAAAAAAAAAAAGAAAGAAAAUUACAAACUAGCAAAACUCCAUCCCCUUGAAGCCCCACCCUAUUCUCUUUGCUCCUUGUGCCUCAUUCAGACCACGCGUGUGUCUCCACUUCUCAGCACAUUCAGACUCCCCUUCACUCUUGUCCCCAUUCUGGUCUGCUUUCUCCCCUCACCACUCCAGAACAGCUCCUCUCCAAGGUCCCAGCAACUUCUUGGUCCUCAUCUCACUCUGACGGUUCCCGAAGGGGCAGCGUAUCCCUCCGACUUGGCUGUGAUCAAAGGGGAGUUCUGGGCAUCUCUUUCCCUGGUUUCCUCUCUUAGGCUUCUGGCUGCUCUGCCGUUUUGCCUGUAUCAUGCGGACACCAGCCUCCUUGAUGGCUCUCUGAAAAGAUUUUCAACAAUGCUCUUAGGCAUGGAGUUCUCCGUGACUCCAAAUAAACUCAGAGCCGUGGAGCUUUUCAUUCUUAUGACCUGCCUUUCCCUCCAGGCAGAACCCCUCUACCACUGCACUGGAGCUGGGUCAGAGACCCUCUCUCCCCAGAGGGACAUCCCGGCUUUAGAAGCAAGUUCUGCAAGAAGGGAAAGUGGAAACGCUUUGUCAUCUCUGCAUAGAAUCUCUGCCCAAGUGAGCUGGGGUAGGGGCAACUCUAGGACCCUUGACUUUCCAAGCCUGGAGGAGAGCUUCCACCCUACAAGUGGGGGCUGGAUGAGGAGAGGGAGACCGGGUCCUUUAGCAUGCCUAUCUGGAACAGAACUUCUGCAAAAUGGGCCUGGGGACCGCAAAACUCCAGCAUCCCUCUUCUGGGGUCAAACCACAGCCCCAGACUGGGAUCUCAGGAGAGAUGGAGCCCUUGGCUGCUCAUGCCUGGGGUAA